GGGACUCCUCCCGUCGGGCUGGUGGUCCACCCCGGCCCGCGGGGUGACGCGGGGGCCUCCGCCGUCACCGGCUCCAGCCUGAGCAGCGGGGUCCCGGACGGGGGAGGCGGAGGGGACUUGGGCCGAACUCAGGCUCCGACGCCGGGGCGGGGCUGCGGUAGGGUUUCCUCAGAUAACGAGAACUUUCCAGCCCUCGGCGAUUAGAUGCAGGCAGGCAGCGGUUGGCCCUUUCCUCCUGGUCGGUGAGAGCACUCAGAGCGCGCUCGGUUUGGGGGAUCCAGGUGAGUUCACGGGAAGAUCUGUGUGCGGGCUGAAUGCGUGCUGGCUGCUUUUCUGCCUGGUUCCGUGUACCCGAAGUGUAAUUGUUGGGGGCUUGGAACUCUCCAGGUUUCUUUGGUUUCAUUUACUCAACCAUGUAACUUCUGAAUGCUGACCUGCUUAAGACCCUGUUUUGUAUGGAUAUAAAUAAAAGGGGUCCGUCCCCAAGGAGACUUUUUCAUGCACUUUAUGGUUUUCGUCCCCAGGGACCUGUGUGCAGUGAGUCACCUCUGCUGCUGAGAUGUACUACGGUUCCCAGCUGAAGAGACUGAGCCGCUGAUGGUUCUCUGUAGGAAGUGAAGACGGGGACCACGAGGACAGUGACUCCCAAAGGUGGACGCUUGUGAGGAGUCAGCAGAUCCGGUGACGUGUUCGGGAGCACUUCAGACCCGUGAGCUGGCUGCUGCCCAUUCUUGGGUUUUCAGGGCACUUCACGGUGUCUCUGGCUGCGAGCUUCCAGGACGCUGCCGUGCGUCGGGUCCUGGGGUACAAGGUGCUCUUGGCCACGGGAGGGUCCUGCCUGCUACCGGGAACUGAGGACAGUUCAUCAGUGUGUGCAAACGUGAAAACACGCCUCGAGUUUGGGCUCUUCGCUGUGUGUGAAGGGUCGCUCCGUAGAAAAGGAAGCAUACUGUGUGCAAAUGGUGUGAUUUCAUCUGUGAAGGUCACGGACAGGAACCCUAGACUGUGGUGUAGAAGAGGUUCCCUCUGGGACGUGGGUGACUGGGAAGAGGGUGAGGGGCCUCUGGGGGGUGGUCAUGGGAGAGCUCUUGGCUGGGGCUGUGGUCACACAGGUGCAUCUCUCCGAGAUACCCACCCGUUUGCUGAGGAUCUGUGAUUUUGCUUGAAUGCUAUACUUUAAUAAAAAAUUACUUAAAAAUAU
Callorhinus ursinus (northern fur seal) is the source of this 1201-nucleotide non-coding RNA. The record is from RefSeq and is a predicted model, not a curated record. NCBI's taxonomy places the organism in Eukaryota, Metazoa, Chordata, Mammalia, Carnivora, Otariidae.